CCCCCCGCAGCGCCAUGGUCGGCUCCGCGCACGCGCGGCCCCUCAGGCGGCCCCCUGGCGACGGCGGCGUGCGGGCGGGGCGUUGCCGGGGGCGCCCCCCCCGCCGCGCCCCCAUGGCCGCCGCCGCCCGCCCGCGCCAUGCAGCGGCCGCGCGGCCCCGCGGGUGACGGCGCCGGGCGGGGAGCGGCCCCCGGGGAGCGGCCCGGGCCCGGCCACGGCCACGGGCGGGCGCUGGAGGAGCCGGAGGAGCCGGCGGCGCUGAGGCGGGAGCGGCGCCGCCUCCUGCUGCGCCUGCUGCGGGCCGCCGGGCCCCGGCCCCUGCUGGGGCUGCUGCUGCGGGACCGGCGCCUGAGGCGCGGCGUCGCCGGGGAGCGGCGGGAGGCGCCGGGCGCCGGCCCCGCGGCGCUGCUCGGGCGGCCCGGGGAGGAGCCGGAGGGCGGCGGGGACGGGGCGCUGCGGGCCCUGCGGGCGCGGCUGGGCGGGGAGGCCGAGCCCGGGCUGCCGCCGCCCCCGCCCCUGCCCCCGGCCGGGCACGGCGCGGGAGCCGCCGCGGGCCGGCUGCUGGCGGGCAGCAGGGCCCGGAGCGCGCACGGCUGCUGCGGGCACCGCGCCGCGGACACCCCGCGGGCCGCCGAGCGGGGAGCGAGCCCGAGGAGAGUGCUGAGCGCCAGCAAGGGGAGGAACAAGCUGCCGUGGGACGGCCGGCGCGCCGCGGGCGAGGAGGGCGGCUCGGGAGGCGCGAUGCCCUCCGCCAAGGGCGUGCAGCAGUUGGUAGAAGGCAGAUCGAUAGCUGUGAGGUGUCAGAAUUUGAAGACUUCAUCUGUUGCCCUCUGCCAGAGGAAACACGUUAGUGCUGCUUUGGCGCUUACUUGAAAGACGCCUGAAUAACCAGAACCCUCCAGUUAUCCAGAAUUCCUGUUACACUGACGUGUAACUCCUCUGCACGUAGCUUUGUGCUUGCCUGCAGGUAAGUACUGACGAGAAUAACAUUUGAUGUCGUGUCUGAUAGCAUUUGGAAGUUGCUGCUUUUGACUUGUGCAUAAAGGAAGGUGCUGCCGAAAUGCCGGUAGCCUUACCAGCGUGCUCUCGAGGUGGUGGUUCACCUGGUGCCAAAACGUCAGGAGUGUUGUUCCUGCAGGUCUGGAAAGUAAUGCAGUGCCACAGCUAAUGUUUUCAUUCAGUGGAAAAAUUGAAAGAUUUGGUUCAGUCCACGUGAAAAUGUGAACUGCUUCUUCCCCAGCAGGCAGUUAGAGGAGCGCCGUGCUGGCAGGCUUACGGUUUGGCAGUUACCUUCAACGGGCUUGUGCGAGCUGUGAUGUUAAAAACUUUGCAGCGGAUUAACAGCUGCCCACCUGCAAAGCUCUUUCAAGACAUACUGAGACAAGUGUGAGUGGAGCGUGGCUCAAGGAGUGGCUUUGCCUCUCUGUACAGCCCCGUACCAGGACUGCGGGGGCUGCCGUAAGCAUCGUGCAGCUCAUGGAUGUAAAUCCCUUCACCCGUUGUGCAGCUCUCUCUCCAGCACCAGGUGUUCAGCUGGUGCUGGCAGCACGCACUGCCUCUCAGAAAUGCUGGCGGCGCUCAGAUUGUCAGCUUCUAGGAUUGCCUCGUACCCGGAGAGCUGUGCAGGGAAGCGCUGGCUGUAGGGAUGUGCCGGUGAAAGGGACAGGCGUGCUUUGACGUAGCUGCUGCAUCUUUGCCCUCUGCAUGGAGGAAGUGAGCAGCCUUGUUUGCUGAAGAGUUCUGUGAGGGAGGCUUGAUGAGAAGGUUAACCAGAUGCUGUUCUUCAUUGUGUGUUAGGGAGAAAAACAGAGUGGGGAUUCAUUGUAGUUACCUACACAGUAAUUGCUUAAGCAGCCCCAUUGUCAAUGGAGAAAGUGCAAUCUGGAGAAUCUGGAGGGCUGUCUUGGUGGCCAAGGACGUAAUUUAAGAUGACACGAACUGUUUUCAAAACUGUAUCGAGUCCUAAAUCUUAUGGAGUGGCUCAAUCUGCAUUUCCUCUAACGGGAGCUUAAAGAACAGCGUGGUGUAAGCACUGCGAUACUUCUCUGAUCGCUGCGGGUUGACGGCUUUGUUUCCCCAUCUUCACAUCCCGAUCAUUUACUCUGCUGUUAACCUGUCUGAAUGGAUUAUGAAACUCCCCAGGGCAGGGGAUCAUCACCUUAUCUGGCUUUCUGAUAUUUUCCUGCAGUAUUUGCUGGCUUCUUGAUGGUGCUUGUUUAUGUCCGCCCGUGCCACAGAAUGACGUUUAUCCCACGGCAUGUGUCUCUGCGUACAAAUAGGUGGGCUGUGCUUUCCCCUAAGACGCACUGGGACGGGAGAGCUUGGGCAGCGUUUCCUGUAUUUGAAGAUUUUCCUCAUUAACUGAGAGAGAUUGCAAAAGCUGUAUAAAUAGUCCGUUACCCCAGGGCAUUUAUUGAGCAAAGAGAUAGAAAGGCAGCCCCGUGUCUCUCCGUUACUGCCUGCUUUUAGCAUGGUAUGUCAUGCAUAAAAUGUGCGUACUUGUUCAAGUAAAUGUAAAAAAAAAAUUAAUUAUUAAUUCGGACAUUCCUUUGAGAUGAAUUUGUUUAAAAAUUAACUUUAGGAGUCAUUCUGUGGCUGAAAGAAUGCGUGAAAUUAGCUUAAUCUUUAAAGCUCUUUUUCUACUUGUAUUUUUAAAGUCAGGUGACGCUGUGAUUGUCCAAGGCCACGUCUAGACUUUGCUGAUCAGAUAAGAUAGGGAGAUAAACGUGUAGGUUAAUGUGUACCGGGAAUGUGAGGUAGAUAAAGCACAUUGCCUCUGCCGCUGUGUCUACACGCGGCUUCCGUGGGUGAUGUUAACUGGCUUGAUGGGUGAAACGCUGCCCUGCAACCUCGGAAGUGCUCUGACAGUGUAUUUGUUUCAUGCCCGCUGCGAACUUUGGGGGGUCAGUGAUGCUAGUGGGAUUCACACGGCCAGUCUGACUGCGCUGUGCUGCCCACACAGCCCCUCAGGGCUUGCAGCUCUCCUGCACGGGUCCGUGCUGUGCGGGGCUGAGGUGUGAGCGCAGCGACACAGCCUGUCGGGAUCGCCAGCUGCGGCACCACGAGCUGGCAGGGGUUAUUUAACUCCAGAGGUGUAAGAGCGGGGCUUCUCGCUGCUGAAUUUGCACGAGGCUGCAGGUCUGUGCAGCAUUACCAGCCGGCAGUGAGCAGCUUAGGAGCCUCAGAUGCUUCAGCUGCCGGCACCUCAGCCUCGGGGAAUGCCCUGGUUCUGCGCUGAGAGUUGAGGGGAGGGGAGGGGAGGGGAGGGGAGCCUGCUCCUGGCCUGCGGCAGAACAGCACAGCACAGUGUGAUAGCUCAGUGCUGCGGGGCCUUCCUGGGAGCCCUGCUGCGAGCUGUGCCGCUCGGUGCCUGGCCGUGGGACGCACUUACAGAAGGUGACGCAGCCGGGGGACACGCCACCCCGCUGGUAAGAAGGGCACU
This 3442-nucleotide long non-coding RNA is filed under the name Cairina moschata (Muscovy duck). RNAcentral describes it as "domestica (muscovy Duck (domestic type)) lncRNA (ENSCMMG00000009228.1)". Lineage: Eukaryota; Metazoa; Chordata; Aves; Anseriformes; Anatidae. The record is from RNAcentral.